UGUUUUUGUAACAUCGUUCUCUUAUCCCCUCUCUUUUUGAUUAGUCUUUUUUGUAUAUGAUGUUUAUGUUUGAUUAGCAAGCAUAAUAUUUUCUUAUGGUAGUAUUGUGUGUGUUUGUCCAGUAAUUUGUUUAUGUCAAAAUGUAUGUCUUUAUCGUCUGUAAAUAAUUUGUUGCUCCUAGUGCUGUCUUUUAUGAAUUUUCGACAUAGAAUUCUACAAUUGGUCUCAACGUCUCCGAGAAGCAUAUUAGAGCUCGAAUACAGUUACAUUGAUUCAGGUUAGAUCCAAGUGAAGAACUUGAAUCAAAUAACCCUGAACCAACUGAGUCAGACACGCAAGAUUAAAGAUUCAGACCUGGAUAUAAUAGAAUUCAAGCCUACCAUAAUGGCAAACGAAACUGUUGCCCAGCGGGCAUACAUAAAAGAUAUAUCAAGCGCCAUACCCAAAUUCAAUUCAGGAAAAACUGCUUAAAAAUGUACCAUUGAAAUAUACAAUUUACGAAAGCUACUUGAAUCUUUGUAUAUCGAUGAAGGUUUAUCUGCCGAACAUGCUGAUAAGUUCAGCACAAAAUAAGCCAUUACAGCAAUGGGUAAAAACCGUGAGCAUGGCAGACUAAAAACAAUUCUAGAAGCUGGUAACUUUACCACAAUCAAUUAUGCCAUCACGCAGUAUAUACAAUGUAGUACGGAAAUGACAGGCAACGUGAACUCCAAAUUAUACGCACGUGGAGGACUAGCCUAUAGAGGCUAGAAUAGACGACAUACUCUAUCAACUAGGCAGAGAAAAAUACUUUUCAUGCUUAGAUUUAAUGUCAGGAUUUAAUCAAAUAGAACUCAAAAAAAACUCUUUGAAUAUAACGUCAAUUUCCACGAGCAAUGGCUCCAAUCGUUUCACGCGAUUACCUUAUGGAUUAAAAAUAGCACCACAUUAUUUUCAAAGAAUGAUGACAAAUGCAUAUUCAGGUAUCAGGAAACAGAACCUUAAAUUGCACCAAGAAAAGUGCACAUUUUUCGGACACGAAGUCACCUACCAUGGACAUAAGUGUACGGACAAAGGUAUUCUACUAGACAACAAGAAAUAUGAGGUCAUACACAGUCCCAACGGACGCAGAUGGCGCUGGAAAAUUCAUUGCAUUCUGCAAUUAUUACAGAAGAUUCAUUAACAAUUUUCAAGACACAUAACGCGAUUAUACAAAAAGAAUGUAAAAUUCGAGUGGUCAGAUCAAUGUCAAAAAGCCUUCCAGUACAUAAAAAUACAACUGAUUAAACCAACA
Long non-coding RNA from Drosophila elegans, 1273 nucleotides. RefSeq lists it as uncharacterized. The transcript is spliced from 2 exons. The record is from RefSeq and is a predicted model, not a curated record. Lineage: Eukaryota; Metazoa; Arthropoda; Insecta; Diptera; Drosophilidae.